Pelobates cultripes (western spadefoot toad) is the source of this 217-nucleotide non-coding RNA. The record is from the annotation of a GenBank genome assembly. NCBI's taxonomy places the organism in Eukaryota, Metazoa, Chordata, Amphibia, Anura, Pelobatidae.
GAGCAAUGUGGAAAUUUACAUGAGUUAUUGUGACACAUAUAAGUGCUGUGGGGGAGUAUGGCACUGUGGCAAGCGCUGUGGUGGCAGUGUGACCUUUCUGCAAGUGUUAUGGUGCAUGGUGACCCAGUAGCCAUAUAUUUUUGCUUGUGGUGUGCCUUGGGUGAGAAAAGGUUGAGGAGCACUGACAUUUGAUGUUUGUUUGUGGGUUUUUUUGUGG